RNAcentral lists this ribosomal RNA (811 nucleotides) under uncultured bacterium. RNAcentral describes it as "bacterial SSU rRNA". It matches the Rfam family "Bacterial small subunit ribosomal RNA", at positions 62 to 872 of the family's 1533-position model. The record is from RNAcentral.
UCGACGAUGAACUGGCGCUUGCGUCGGGGAUUAGUGGCGAACGGGUGAGUAACACGUGAGUAACCUGCCCUUAACUCUGGGAUAAGCCUGGGAAACUGGGUCUAAUACUGGAUAUUGACUUUUCCUCGCAUGGGGUUUGGUUGAAAGAUUUUUUGGUUUUGGAUGGACUCGCGGCCUAUCAGCUUGUUGGUAUGGGUAAUGGCCUACCAAGGCGACGACGGGUAGCCGGCCUGAGAGGGUGACCGGCCACACUGGGACUGAGACACGGCCCAGACUCCUACGGGAGGCAGCAGUGGGGAAUAUUGCACAAUGGGCGAAAGCCUGAUGCAGCGACGCCGCGUGAGGGAUGACGGCCCUCGGGUUGUAAACCUCUUUCAGUAGGGAACAAGGCCACACGUUGUGUGGUUGAGGGUACUUGCAGAAGAAGCGCCGGCUAACUACGUGCCAGCAGCCGCGGUAAUACGUAGGGCGCAAGCGUUAUCCGGAAUUAUUGGGCGUAAAGAGCUCGUAGGCGGUUUGUCGCGUCUGCCGUGAAAGUCCGGGGCUCAACUCCGGAUCUGCGGUGGGUACGGGCAGACUAGAGUGAUGUAGGGGAGACUGGAAUUCCUGGUGUAGCGGUGAAAUGCGCAGAUAUCAGGAGGAACACCGAUGGCGAAGGCAGGUCUCUGGGCAUUAACUGACGCUGAGGAGCGAAAGCAUGGGGAGCGAACAGGAUUAGAUACCCUGGUAGUCCAUGCCGUANACGUUGGGCACUAGGUGUGGGGGNCAUUCCACGUUUUCCGCGCCGUAGCUAACGCAUUAAGUGCCCCGC